ACGGGAGGCAGCAGUAGGGAAUCUUCGGCAAUGGGGGCAACCCUGACCGAGCAACGCCGCGUGAGUGAAGAAGGUUUUCGGAUCGUAAAGCUCUGUUGUAAGAGAAGAACGUGUGUGAGAGUGGAAAGUUCACACAGUGACGGUAACUUACCAGAAAGGGACGGCUAACUACGUGCCAGCAGCCGCGGUAAUACGUAGGUCCCGAGCGUUGUCCGGAUUUAUUGGGCGUAAAGCGAGCGCAGGCGGUUUAAUAAGUCUGAGGUUAAAGGCAGUGGCUUAACCAUUGUUCGCUUUGGAAACUGUUAGGCUUGAGUGCAGAAGGGGAGAGUGGAAUUCCAUGUGUAGCGGUGAAAUGCGUAGAUAUAUGGAGGAACACCGGUGGCGAAGGCGGCUUUCUGGUCUGUAACUGACGCUGAGGCUCGAAAGCGUGGGGAGCAAACAGGAUUAGAUACCCUGGUA
Molecule: ribosomal RNA, 459 nt
Filed under: uncultured Streptococcus sp.
Lineage: Bacteria; Bacillati; Bacillota; Bacilli; Lactobacillales; Streptococcaceae
Description: partial 16S ribosomal RNA
Rfam family: Bacterial small subunit ribosomal RNA
Source: RNAcentral